RNAcentral lists this long non-coding RNA (20451 nucleotides) under Lactuca sativa (garden lettuce). Its description in RNAcentral is "long non-coding RNA (LSAT_LNC001927)". The record is from RNAcentral. Lineage: Eukaryota; Viridiplantae; Streptophyta; Magnoliopsida; Asterales; Asteraceae.
AGAACCGUAUCUCAAUUGAUCCUCUAAAUGAGUCUUAGUGCAAUUGUAUGUCUAAGAAGAGGAAUCAGGAAUUGAAGAAAUGGUUAAAUCAAUAAGUCAAUCAUACUUCGUUCCAAAACAAGUUUUAGAGUUAAGAUCGUGACAUUGAGUGACAAGUCUAAAGAAGUUUUAUAACAUUCAUCAAAUUUGGAAUUUGGAAAAGGGUUUUCUUAUUCUUGCACAUUUGAAAUUGGUAUGUUGUGGUGUCUUGGAUAAGACAAAGACCAACUAGGACCAAUUUUGUGAAGUGUUCUGUCUUGAUAAAAGCUACACUAACUCUUGAAUAUUUGUUUGUCAAGAAAUGUUUCUUGACAAGAGAAUCUUAUAUGUCAAGAAGUCAGUGGGAGUCUUAAUGUCUUGGCAGGUUUCAAGAACUAAUCAAGAAUAAACCUUAUCAAUCAUCACUAGCACACGACUUGAGGAUUACAACCUAUCAUGUUAACAAUAUCUUGUUUCUGUGCCAUUCCAAUUAAGUUAAUUAUGCAUGUGAAUUCUAUGAGUUCUCAUUUGAAUGCAUAAAAGGCAAGGACCUUGAUCAAUGAAAAGUACAUUGAUAAGAAAGGUUGAGCUGCUUAACUACUUGGAAGACAUGGUGGGCACUCGUGUUACCAUAAGGCAAGGUAUCAAGAUUAAGAAAGUUUGGUCCAUAAGAGUUUAGAUUUGUCGCAAAUUUUGGUUUUGGACAAAUUCGCAUGGAUAGGAACACAUAAACCAUUAAAAUCUGAGUGUCAUAAGAUUCCUUUCUUCAUGAAGAUGACUGUGAGGAAAUGCUUUCACCAAGAGAGAUUUUAAGAAGAUAGUGAUUGUGAAAAUUGUAUUCUCGAAUUUGAUUAUGGUUACGGUAUCCCUUUCCAUAAUUAGAAUUGUCAGAUUUAAAAAUUAGUCUGAAUUGUUUAGACACACAUAUGAGCAAUCUUAGGCAAAGGUGUAUGAGAUUAAGAAGCUUUGAUAAAAGAUUAUCAAAGCAUUAAGUAUUAGAAAUAUGAACUUAAGAAAUUCAAUAGGUAUUGUUUUUUUGGAAGUUAAGUUGUUUUUUGAAUACAUGUCAAAGCUAGUGGGAACAUAAGUGUUAUGCUUAUAUGAUAAUAAUCAUCAUGAUAGUGGGAGCAUAAAUGUUGUGCAUGUAUGAUUAUUAAGACAAGUAUUGCAAGUUAGAAAUAUUAAUUAUAGAAAACAAGAGUUAUACUUUGCAAAGUCGUAAGGGUUGAAUAGUUGUUUUGCUAUAAUUAAGGGAGAGAAUAUUAUGCUUCAUUUCAAAUCUAAAGGCUUAGGUUGUGGAAUGUUAAUAAAUUUAGUCAAGGAUACAUAGUGUGUUCUCAAAUUUUGAAAUUGUGAGAACGUGGCACAUAAAAUAUUAUGGCAGAAGAUUGUUAAAGUAUCAGAUCUUUAUGUAAGACAUUAUGCAUUGAGUUCCAUUCACUUCGGGUAUAGGAUCGAUUGCAAAUGCUCUAAUAUUUGACCAUUCUAAAAAAAUUUCAAAAUGUCUAGCGCAUUUAGAGGGAAAAAGGACUAGAAUCGGUUUUGACUAAAAUAAUUAAACAACUAUCAAAGGACGAUCCAAAGCUCGCUAAGGAUUGGUCGCUUGUGAGUAGUUGGAAGUAUGGUAUUGGAUGGACCAUAUCGACAUUAUUAUAAAUAGAUAAGAUUCUAUUAAGAAUGAGUUGUCAUAUGGCAAAUAUGGAAAUGUUUCCAUAUUGGGAGUUGGAUAUUGAGAAUCAAUGUCUAGAUUAGAAACUUUUAUGCAAGAAGAAUGUUCAAAGGAAUGUACUUUGAGUGAGAGACAUUAUAUCUAUAGAAUUGUUUCUGAUAGAGAUUGGCCAAAUCUUGAUGAUUUUGAGCUAUGACUUUAUGAAAGGAUCAUUGCAUAAAAAUGUUAGAAUCUAGCAUAUUCCAUAAGUAACAAGAAUUUGAUAUUCUUAUACUUAUGAUAAGGAUUGGGAGUUGUGAAAUGAGUAUGAUUGGAAAUGUGUUCAUUUGAUCUAUUUCACAAAGUAAGGACCGUAGGUAAACAUUGUGUGCAUGCUGAGAGCAUGGGACAAGUGUAGUAAUAAUUCAAGUAAGAAGUUGAUUACCUGAAACAACAAAUAAUGAGUAAUCAAUAUGGUGAUUAAAUAAAAUGUUUUAUUUAUACCCAGAGUUUGGGGCCAUAUGGGAUUAGUAUUAUUCUUGUGUUUCACUUUGCAUGUUUUGACUUCCUGAAUAAUUAAAUUGGUUCAGAACAAUCAAAUUAUUCGAACGGACCACAGUCGUUCAUAUGUUGGAAGUAGGUAUGAAUGAAGACUGUCGUGAAUUGGUGUGUGGAUUGUCUAAAGUGUAUUAGACAUAAGCAAAUGUUUGCUGCAACGUUCAUGAGUGCUUAUGAAUAUGAUUUGAGCAUUGGAUUAAACCCACGCUCACUUGGAUCACUUCAUGGAUUUUAUCACGAGUGAUUGGUGAGAUGAUAAUAUCUUAUAUUCUUGAAACCGAGAUGUGUGAGUUGUAUCUUGCGAGUCGGUUACACAUUGAUAAUAUGUAAACGCACCAGUAACUUGGUGUUAUAAAACAUAUUGUUGUGUGUGAUUCGGUGAGUGAGUGCAAGCAAGCAUUGAAUCAAAGUUUAUCCGUUCCUUUUAUCCAAAGUAGGAUGAAAGCGAUAUCUGUGGGCCCCUCGAUGAUUUAGUGAUGACACCUAAGCGCUUGGCCAAGCCGGGACUAAUUUGAUGUGUUCAAUUGUAGUCUGUUGUCAGUCGUCAUAAAUCGGAAAUCGGGAAACAACACAUAGACAGAGAGAAUGAUUUAAAUCCAUGUCUCAGUCUAUACGAUAUCUAUUAUGGAGGAAUAUAUGAUCCCUUAUCUAAAGGGCACAUGCUUCUUAUAGGAUCAGAGUUGACAAUGGUUUUUGAAAGCUACGAUUGUAGAUCAGGAUCUGAAGUCAUACGCAGAAUAGUUAUUAGACUUAUCCAAGUGGGAGACUGUUGGAUUAGUGUCUAAGUCCAUAACUAUUUUGGUAUGUACUUGACCCGAUGGUGCAUGGUCCUUUUGGGUUGCCUUCACCAAAGCAACUUGAUAGGAUGAAUUAUGGAGAGAAAGGAUUAAAUAUGAUUUAUUAAUAUAUUAUGAGAAUAAUAUAUUAAAGGAGAAAUCAUAUUGUUUAAUUAAUAUUAGUCAAGAAUUAAUAAGAAUUAAUUUUGUGGCUAAAAGACAUUAAUUAAACUUAAGGGACUAGAACUGUCAAUUGUCUGAUAGUUAAAUAUUGGGCUAAUGGACUCCAUAAUAGAGAGGUGGACGAAUUCUAUGGGGAAACCCAUUAGAAAUCGUCCUUGGCCUCAAAGGAGGGAGUCCAUGGGUUGCUUAUGGCCUAAGCAUUUAAAUUAGGGUUUCCUUGUUAGAUAACCCUAAUAGCUUCACUAUUUAAGGAUCCCUAGAGCACCAAAAACGUGGUGAACUAACUCCUUAGGGUUUCUACACGGUUUUUGGUCCCUCCUCUCUUAUCAUUCUUCAUCCUCUUGCACUUGGUGUUUGUGAGCCAUUAGAGGAGUGACACUUGUGACUCUAAGCUUUGUAAAGCCAUUACAAGGAGGAUUUGAGAUUGUUAUUGCUACAUAACAAUCAAGGUAAGAUCUAAAUCCCAUUCUUAUGUUAAUAUGAUUAAUUGUAUGCUAGAACUAGGGUUUAAAGUCUUGGAUGAAUUGCAUGUACAAUAGAGAAACCUAGAUCCAAGCAUUAGGGUUUGCAUGAGCACAUAGGAUGUUCUUAUGGCCAAAACCCAUCAGAGAUAUCAUUAGAUGAGAGUGCGGGAUGAAGAUAUCCAGAAGACGGCGUUCAAAACUCGUUAUGGGCAUUACGAGUUCAUGAUGAUGCCUUUUGAGCUCACCAAUGCACCGACAGCGUUCAUGGAUCUCAUGUAUAGGGUGGGUAGGCCGAUGUUGGAUCGGUCGAAGAUCGUGUUCAUUGAUGAUAUUUUGGUCUAUUCGAGAUCUAGAGAGCGGCAUGAGGAGCAUCUGAGAGAGAUUCUCGGGGUAUUGAGGUCGGAGAGGCUUUUCGCCAAAUUCUCCAAGUGUGAUUUUUGGUUACGAGAGGUCCAGUUCUUGGGACACCUCGUUAACCAGAAUGGGAUAUUGGUCGAUCCGGCCAAGAUUGAGGCAGUUAUGAGAUGGGAGGUGCCGAGAUCACCCACCGAGAUCAGGAGUUUUCUAGGAUUGGCCGGCUAUUAUCGGAGAUUUAUCAUGGAUUUCUACAAGAUCGUCGUGCCUCUCACCAGGUUGACCCGGAAGGGUGUUGCUUUUUCAUGGGGUCCGGAGCAGCAAACCUCGUUUGAGACACUUCGCCAGAGAUUAUGCAAAUCCCCAGUGUUAGCCCUCCCGGAAUGGAUGGAGGAUUUUGUGAUGUAUUGUGACGCAUCGAUAUCAGGGUUGGAUGCAGUACUUAUGCAGAGGGGGCAUGUGAUAGCAUAUGCAUCAGGGCAGCUAAAGCCUCAUGAGACGAGGUAUCCCACCCACAAUCUAGAGUUGGGGUAGUGGUGUUUGCCUCAAGAUAUAGCGUCACUAUUUGUAUGGGGUUCGGUGUACCAUAUACACGGACCACAAGAGCUUGAAGUAUUUGAUGGAUCAGCCCAAUCUGAAUAUGCGCCAGAGGAGAUGGUUGGACGUGGUAAAGGAUUACGAUUGUGAGAUCCUGUACCACUCAGGCAAAGCAAAUGUUGUAGCUAAUACCCUGAGCCAUAGGGCGGAGAGUGCCCCGAUUUGAGACAUUUGUAUGCGACUGACAUUGAUGACUCCGGUGUUGGACACCAUUCGGGAGGCCCAAGCAAAGGCCGUGAGACCGGAGAACCGUAAGAGAGAGCAGGUGAUUGGGCAGGUACCUGAGUUCGUUACCGAUAGCCGCGGGCUUAUGACCUUUCAGGGUCGGAUUUGGGUGUCGUAUGCAGGCGGGGCGCGCACCACUUUGUUGGAGGAGACGAAUAGAUCGAGAUUCUCGAUCCAUCCCGAGGCCACUAAGAUGUAUUUGGAUCUGAAGCAAGAUUAUUGGUGGCCCUAUAUGAAGAGGGAUGUAGCAUGGUUUGUUGAGAGGUGCUUGACCUGACACAGGGUUAAGGCAGAGCACCAACGUCCGCCUGGAAAGUUGUAGCCACUUGAGGUUCCCCAAUGGAAGUGGGAACAGAUUUCUAUGGAUUUCAUCACCAAAUUGUUGAGGACCGCGAGGGGUGUCGAUGCAAUUUGGGUGAUCGUCGACCGGCUGAUGAAGAGUGCUCACUUUCUUGCUAUUAGUGAGAGCUCUUCAGUAGAGUGGCUGGCAGAGUUGUAUGUGAGGGAGGUGGUAUUGCGGCAUGGAGUGCCGAUCUCGAUUGUGUCAGAUCGGGAUGUACAUUUCACUUCUAGGUUCUGGAAGAAGUUCCACGAGGAGUUAGGCACGAGGUUGCAUUUCAGUACCGCUUACUACCCACAGACGGACGGACAGAGUGAGCGGAUGAUUCAGAUGCUCGAGGACAUGCUUCGGGCAUGUGUGUUGGACUUCGGAGGGAGUUGGGACAUGUAUUUGCUGUUGGCAGAGUUUUUCCUAUAACAACAGUCACCAUUCGAGCAUUGGUAUGCCUCCCUUCGAGUUGUUGUAUGGGAGGAGGUGUCGGACUCCCAUUUGUUGGGGAGAGGUAGGGUAGCGAGUGAUGGGAAACACUGAGAUAGUGCUUCAAACGACAGAGCAGAUACAACAGGUCAGGCAGAGGUUGUUGACAGCUCAGAGUCGCCAGAAGAGUUAUGCGGAUAGGCGACGAUCCGAGCUCGAGUUUCAGGGCGGAGACUUCGUACUCCUGAAAGUGUCUCCUUUGAAAGGAGUGAUUCGAUUUAGGAAGAGGGGCAAGUUGGGGCCCCGAUACAUUGGGCUGUUCAGGGUGACCACGAGGGUGGGCAGGAUAGCAUAUUGGUUGGAGCUCCCUGCGGAGUUGAGUCAGAUACAUGAUACCUUCAACGUGUCCCAGUUGAGAAAGUGUAUAGCCGACGAGUCGGCGGUGGUACCAUCGGAGGAUAUUCAGGUGGAUGCGAGCCUGAAUUAUGUUGAGAGGCCAGUCGUGGUGGUGGAUCCGAAGAUCAAGGUUUUGAGAGACAAGGAAGUGCCACUUUUUCUUGUUCAGUGGCAGCAUCGAAAAGGGUCUGAGCUGACUUGGGAGCCGGAGGCAGAGAUGCAGAAGCUACACCCAGAGUUGUUUGUAGAAUGAGACUUCGAGGGCGAAUUCUGAUUCUAGUGGGGGAGAAUUGUAACAUUCGGAUUCCCAGGUAUCUUAUUUUAAUUAUUUAUCUUGAGUUUAAUGGAGGGGCUCGGCAAGUAGACGCUCAGACUCGCCGAGUAGGAUCGCGAAUUCUUGUCUGGAUUAAUGAUCAGACUCGAUGAGUCGAUGAGUGGACUCGGCGAGUCUGCACUGUAAAGUGAAACCCUAAAUCUCAGGGCCUGAUCCUUAUUUAAAGGCCCUUAUGGUCGUCAUUUGUGGCCACUACUCCCCUGUGAAAACCCUAGAGAGCUUAGAGAGCAAUUUGGAGGCUAACUCUUCAUCCUUUGGUGCGAUCUUGCAAGAAGGAGUGGGAAAAUCCAAGCUAGAUCGAUUGUGGAGCUUGGAUCUGUGUUGUUCACACUGAGAUUCACGUUUUAAUGUACAAGUUCCUUCCCAUUUCAUGUAUUUGAUAGAUUCCUCGAAUCUAGGGUUUCCUUUGCACAAUUUGAGUUAGAUUGUAAAGCAUAUGAGGUCCCUUUGGGUAUAGAUGAUAGAUCUAGACCUUGAGAGGUCCAAAAGGUCCCAGGCUUCCAGCUUUAUGAGGUUUCAUGUGAGCCUUGAGAGUAGAACCCCAUUUUAAAGGUUAUUUCUCCAUUUUUGGUCUUAUAAGCAUUGCAUGAACGUAAAGUUUGAACCUUUACGUGACUUUUGAGUGUUCGAAGGUUAGAUCUUGUGACAUCCCCAAAAUCAUGGCCAGAAAAGACCGAUUUUCAUUUAUGCUUUUAAAAUAAUUUCAGAGUAAAUCAUUUUGAUUUGAAAGAGUUGUGGAAUUUGUUCCCAAAAACAAAGUAUGAUAAAAUAAUAUUUACCAAAGCAUUUCAUAAAGAAAUGUAUUUUCAUUAUAUAAUCAAAACUCGGGAUGUCAUGUUCCGAUACAGACCAUAAAGCAUAAACGAUAACAUUACAAGUCGUUCAACAAAUAUAUACAUAUACAGACUUGUAAACAAAACAACUUGAUGAUUCAUCCAUCUUAUGCCCUUGCGCCACUUCCUGUAAUACAAAUAAACUGAGUGGGUCAGGCUUGGGAGCCUGGUGAGCAUAUAGGGUUUUCAACCCACAAUAAAUAAUUAUAUUUAAUUUCACCAACCAACAAUAACCCAAUUACCCAUUCCCGUUAUCCUCACUUUAUGUCCCUAAAACAACUAACAUAAGGGACCUAGUCUAAGAAUAUUUCAUCGGGGCGACAACACAUGCUUCGGGGGUUCCUCAGCAAUAUAAGUCAAAUAAGGCAACCAUGAGGGGGAUGGAGUACAGCGAAUGAACACCCAAGUUCAUUAACACCUACAGGUGGCGAACCUGCUAGCGUUUCCACAAGACUAUCUAGAAAAGUAUGUGGUCGUCAUCUAAACUCCGCUAGAUGACUAAAUCAAACAACAACGAGGCCUCUCAUCUGUUUAUUACACACCAACUAUCUACCCAUGUUCUACCCAACAUAUUAGUAGAUAAAAAUAUACAUUUGUAUACAUAGUUUAAAACCCUGUAUAGCAUGCUUUAAUCAAUACAUAUUCCACAUAACAGAUGAGGCACACACACAUAACACGUAUUUCAUAGAGAAUAACUCAUAUCUAUGAGAUAGAAGAAAGUGAAUAUACAUUCACACAUAUAACAACAAAAUAUACACAUAACACGUAUUUUAUAUAAAAUAAUUCAUAAUUAUGCGUUAGAAGAAAGUAACUACACAUUCACUUGAUCAGAAGAUGAUCGGACAACACUACGGCUUGUAGAAGUAGUAUUCUUCGAUAGAUUUGGAAGAUCUUCACAAAAACCGGACUCCUCGCGGGCAGAGGUUUGGAUCGGGAAUUGCACUUCUCGGGAUCUUCGGGGCUUCAGGACUUGCUUCGGGGCUCGGGAAUGAUACUGGGGCUUCGGGAGAAUUCUUGCACGAAAAAUGAUGCAAAAACGCAAGAGAAAGGGAAGAAAUGAGCAAAGAACUCGGAUGCCCUCGACAUCCUUUUAUAAGGGGCUGGAACUUCGAUUUACGCUGGGCGUAAUGAGGAUAGGAUCGCUNGAACUCCGUUUUCGAUGUUUUUUAUAUCCUCACGUAGGUGAGACUACGCUAUACAACUUUCGUUUAGACUCCAUCAGGUAAUUUUGAAUUUAUUUUUAUUAUUUAUUUUUAGUAGGCCGGGACAAGAAAACUCCGUUAUAAAAUCAUAACUUCUUCAUCCGACGUCCGUUUUCGUCUAUCUUUUCAUCGUUUCACUACAAUUAACGAGAUCUUCGAUUCUCGUUUAGAUUGUUUCGGCUAAAAACCGCUCGGUCUCAAAUCGAGUAUUCGGGCUGCAUACUGCUAAGUCGAAACUUAUAAAAAUCAUAACUUCCUCAUACGAAGUCAGAUUUGGGCGUUCUUUUUAUGCACGCUCUCGGUUUAAUGAACUCUACGACUUUCGUUUAGAUCACUAAGGCUAAAUAUCGCUCUAACAUAAAUUUCACUUUUUACGUCAUUCAACGUUGCCGGUUCUGUCGCGAAACUUCGACAGGUCAUAACUUCUUCGUUAUAUCUCGGAUUUCUGCAUUCUUUAUAUCUUCAAAAUCAUUGUUUUGACAACUGCAUCUUUAUGCAAAGAUAUCGGGCUUAUCUCACACUUUAUAUUUGACGCUUAUUUUAUUCUUAAUUCAUUAAAUUAUAAUAAUUAAGAAAAUAAACACAUAAUUCACAUAAUACUCAAAUAUUUCAUCAUUAAUACUACAAAAAGAGUUACAAGGGUUAACCUAGACUAUUACAUCAAUGAUAAUGCCUAGCCUGGAAACGCAAGCGUUACAGAUCUACUGGUUCGUGAAGCAGAUCUGACCUCAAAAUAUCGUUUGAGUGUUUUCAUGGGAGGAACUCGCCGAGUCCACAAGAGACUCGACAAGUCGAGUCGGGUUGCCUCGCGAUUCGCGACCUUUGAUAACCUGUUUAGUGUAGGGUUGACUCAGUGAGUCGAGUGAGGACCAGGGGUGAAGAGUACAUGCAUGGACUCGUCGAGUCACACGAGUGCACUCGACGAGUCUGGUCAACGUUUGACCGUUGACUUUUGUUGACUUUAAGGGUUUGGUCAAUAAUUGGACUUGUGGACCAUUUGAAGGGUAAAAUGGUAUUUUAGCCUUCUUAGAGGACAUGGAAGAGACUAUUCUAUCCUGGCGAGCCGUUAUUGAUUUGAGAUAAAUGUUUAUGCGUUUAGGCGGAGGCUAGAUCAGUAUAUACGUGUGCGACAUUGUCCGAGAUAGCCGAGGUGAAUCUUAUCACUACACUAUACCUGGAAGGGUACCUAUGUGUGACCAGAAGGUCUUAUAUGAUAUGAGAUGUAUGUGCUAUAUGCUGAUAUGUGAUAUGUAUGUGUUAUGUAUGCUAUGUAUGAUAAGGAUCGGAAGGUCAAGAUGAUAUCGACCGGAAGGUCAAGAGGACAUGGACCGGAAGGUCAGGAGGUUACAGACCGGAACGUCUACCGGGAUUUGGGACAGAAGUCCCCUGAGACACUUGGACCAGAAGGUCCCACAGAGUUAUGGCCUGGAAAGGCGUAUGUGUUGUAUGUGGUAUUUUGGGGAACUCACUAAGCAUUUAUGCUUACAAUUGUUGUGUUUGGUGUUUCAGGUACUAACGAGGACCGUGGGAAGGCGUCGGCAUGAUCCAUACACAUUGAGAAGAUUUAUGUAUUUGAGAUCUUUUGAGAUUCUGGGAUUUGUUUGUUAUGAUGACAUUGGAUACAGUUUGUUUGAUAUUGCUUUGAUGAUUGAAAAUGUGAUUUAAAAAUGAAAAAUUGUUUUGAAAAUUUCACAUUGUUACAACAGCAAACCCUGUAGAGGUAAUGUCUCAAAAUCUUGAGAGUGAAUACCACCUUUCCCAGCUCCAGAUCAUGAGUAGGGUAUCUCAUCUCGUACGGUUUUAACUGUCGAGAUGCGUAGGCUAUCACCCCUCAUCUCUGCAUGAGGACCGCUCCUAGUCCCGUGAUGGAUGCAUCACAAAACACCACUAAAUUCUCAACUCCCUCUGGUAGAGUCAAGACUGGAGCCUCGCAAAGUCGUUGUCGGAGGGUCUCAAAGGCCCUCUGUUGCUCAGGGCCCCACCGGAAAUCCACCCCCUUCCUCGUCAGACGAGUGAGGGGUACUGCAAUCUUGGAGAAAUCAUGUAUGAAUCUCCAGUACUACCUAGCCAAUCCCAAGAAACUCCUGAUAUCCGAGGGAGAUUUCGGAACCUCCCACUACAUAACCGCCUCAAUUUUGGUCGGAUCGACCAAAAUCCCCUCAUGGUUAAUGAGAUGUCCAAGAAACCAAACCUCUCAUAACCAAAACUCACACUUCAAGAACUUGACAUAAAUUCGUUCUCGUCUCAGAACUCCUAAUAGCUCAUGUAGAUGCUCUUCAUGCUGCUCUCGGGUCUUGGAGUACACCAAGAUAUCAUGUAUGAACACGAUGACCAAGCAAUCGAGCAUCAGUCUGUAGACCAGAUUCAUCAAGUCCAUAAAUAUUGUCAAUGUGUUGGUAAGCCCAAACCGCAUCACUAUGAACUCGUAAUGUCCAUAACAAGUUCGGAACACGGUCUUCUCCACGUAGUCAUCCCUAACCCUGACCCGAUUGUAUCUGGACCUUAGGUCUAUGUUGGAGAACCAAGAUGCUCCCUGCAACUGAUUGAAUAGAUCAUCUAUCCUUGGGAGUGGAUAACGGAUCUUCACCGUUAACUUGUUCAACUCCCGUUAAUUAAUGCAUAUCUGGUGCAAACCAUCCUUCUUCCUGAUGAAGAUAAUCGGUGCUCCCCACGGAGAAUUGCUCAAACGGAUGAACUGCUUGUCCAACAGUUCAUGCAGCGGUGAUAACAGCUCCAUCAUCUCAGGUGGUGCCAAUUGGUACGACGCCUUAGCAAUAGGGAUCGCACCUGGCACUAGGUCGAUCCUGAACUCAACCUGCCCCUUCGGAGACACUCUGGGUAACUCCUCGGGAAACACAUCUACGAACUCUCUGACAACCGAAACGUUCGAAACCGAAACCUGAUCCCCGAACCGUGUAUCCACCACAUACACCAAGUAACCUGCACACCCGUGCUGAAUAUAAUGUCGAGCCCGGGCAUCUAAAUAAAACCUUGAACCCAAUCUGGUGCCCACGCUGUAGAUAACCAGUUCUCCCCCACUUGGGGUUUGAACUACCACCCGCUGACCCUCGCAGUCGAUCAUGACACCAAAGCGACUCAACCAAUCCAUACCCACAACCACACAUACAUCCCCCAUGGGAAUCAGAAUCAAGUCUAUCGGGAAGGAUACCUCGAAGAUCUCAAGAACGCAGCCCCGAUAGACUGAAGAAGUAGAAAUCUCAUGUUCGUUGGCGAUGGAGACUCGCAGCGGACACUCUAGCUCUCCUACCGACAAACCGAACUCCCUACUGAACGAUCGAUAGACAAAUGACCGAAUUGCCCCCGAGUCAAAUAAUACCAGAGCAGGUAAUGAGUUCACUAAAAAUGUACCUAAUCAUGGGUACAAACAUAUAAGCAUAAAACAAAUAUGUAACGCCCGGGUUUCAGGGCUAAGCAUUUUUGUCAAUGUAAUAGUCUAGGUCAACUCUUGUAACUCUUUUUUUGAAGUAAUAAAAAUGAAAUAUUUGAGUAUUAUGUGAAUUAUGUGUAUUUAUGUGCUUAUAAUUUAAUUAUAAAUGUAUAAUUAAUAAAUAAUAAAAAUAAGCGUCAAAAUUAAAGUAUAAGAUAAUCCCGAUAUCUCUACAUAAAGUUGUAGAAUAUGUCUCAAGGUUUUCGUACAUAUAAAGAAUGCCGAAAUCCGAGUUAUAACGAAGAAGUUAUGACCCGUCGAAGUUUUACGGCAAAACCGGCACGGCACCGGGAAGCGUAAAUAGUGAAUUUACGAUAGAGCGAGAUUUAGCCUUAGCAAUCUAAACAAAAGUUGUAGAAUAUGUUAAACUAAGAGCGUCGAUAAAAAGAACGCCCAAAUCUGACUUCGUAUGAGGAAGUUAUGAUUUUUCUAAGAUUCGGCUUAGCAGUGCACGACCCGAAACUCGAAUUUUAGUUCGAGCGGUUUUUGGCCUACGCAACCUAAAUGAGAGUUGAAGAUCUCAUUAAUAGGAACUCAACGGUAAAAAGAUGGACGAAAACGGAGUUCGUAUGAAGGAGUUACGAAUUCUUCGCGGUCAUUUAACAGUCUAAAGGCCUCCUACUGUUAAAUUUGAGAUCGGUCAAGAAUUAGCUGACGGAGUCUAAACGAAAGUUGUAGAGUACGUCUUCACCUACGCGUGGAUAUAAAGAACGUCAAAAACGGAGUUCGUAUGAACGAGUUACAAAUUAUAAUAACAUAUUUACGUAUUAAAAUAAAGUAUAAAUCAUGUAUACGUACACAUAUAUAUACAUAUGUAUAUAUCAUUAGAAAGGUAUCGACGAUGCGGUCAUUAUAAGACUAAUGUUGAGUUCUUUCGACAUUAGUUUAGUACAAAUAUCAUUAAAUCCAUUUAUAAUAGUAUUAUAGAGGGGUGUUUAGUUGUUUAUAUAACUAAAAGGUCAUUAAGUAAUUAUGGAGGGUAGUUUUUGAAAAUUCAAUUAGUAUAAAUAAGAGCCUUGGGCUCUCAUAUUUCUUGCACCAUUCUCUUGAUUCAAGAGUCUUUCUCUCCUUAUCCCCCGAGCAUUUCGGUCCCUCGUGAUUCGACUUCUCUUUCUGUAGCUUAGUAUAGUAAGGUGAGCGCUGAAGCGCUGCACGAAUCUUUCUUAGAAAGAUUCAGCGACGAAGUUCUGCCCCUGCAGAGCCCGACUCCUAGCUAAAACCCCCUUGUAAGUAAGUUAUGCUUACCUUAUUUUAAUAUAGCUUAUAUUUAAAAUUAGUAUUGUUAUUAUGAACUUAUAAUAAAUAUUUGAGCUAUUAUUAUAACUUAUAUAAGUGUCGUUAUAAUAUUUUUUUUAACUACUCGCGGUACGGGGAAUCUGGUUUAAAGGGCCGCAUAGGGUUGUUGGAUUUCAGAAGUGCUAUAUGCCAAAAUGGUCCUGCCCUCCGGUGUUUUAUGUCUGGCCCCUGUCUGUACAUAGUGGUUGGAAAAUAUUGUUUAACGCUUAUAUAAUAAUAAUAAUACUAAGACUAAUAGUUGGUCACGGUAAAUAUUAGACUAAAAUUUAGCGAUAAUAAUGCUAGGUUUCGUCGAAGGAAAAUAGAAUCGUUAGAAGCAAGCGCUGCCCGAUUUUGGAAUCAUCACCUUAACAAGUGAGUGCAUAGUUACUUUCAACUUACACAUAGAUAUGAAGUAUUUUAUAUAAAUUACGUGCUAUGUGUGCAUAUUAUCUGAAUACUUGCUAUCUAUGCUAGAUGAACAUUGUUAUACAUGUUUUCAAUGAUUUAAACUGUAUAUGUAUUUUAUAUCUACGAAAAUGUUGGGGUAAAACAUGGGUAGAUGUAAUAGGUGAUGUGUGAUAAAAUGAUGAGAGGCCUCGAUGUUGAUGUUGUUGUUUCUGUCAUCUAGCGGAGUAUGGAUGACGACCACGGACUCUUCUAGACAGUCCAGUGGAACACUAGCAGGCUCGCAACCUGUAGGUGUUUGUGAACGAUAUGUUCACCGGUGUACUCCAUCCCCCACAUGGUUGCCUUUAGGACAUUUAUUGCUGAGGAAUCCCCUUAGCAGUAGUGUCCGUCCCGAUGAUGAUCCUUAGGCUAGGUCCCUUAUGAUAGGUGUUUAGGGACGUAAAGUGAGGAUAACGGGAACGGGUAAUCGGGUUAUUGUUGAUUGAAUUAAUAAACUUAUUUAUUGUGGGUUGAAAACCCUAUGUGCUCACCAGGAUCCCAAGCCUGACCCACUCAGUUUUAUGUAUUACAGGUAGUGGCGCAUGAGCAUAGGUGUGAUGUUUUGGACGAGGGAUUACGGAUAUAGGCCUGUAGAUAUGAAAUAAUGUAGUAAGGCUUAUAUUGUACUGUUUAUGCUUUUGAUCUGUACGAACAUGACAUCCCGAGUCUUUUAAUGAAAUACAUUUCUAUGGAAAUGCUUUUGAUAAAUCUUUAUCAUAUUUUUGUUUUGGGACAAAUUCCGCAACACUUUCAUUUAAAAUGUAACUCUGAUUUUUAAACAAAGCAUAAACAAACCGGUCUUUUGUGGCCAUGAUUUUGGGGAUGUCACAAAAUACAAAUCAACAAGAUAAGGGAUAGAAACAUACCAGCAACCACAUCCGGUGAUAUCUUGGCCUCCUCGGCUGUAAGCUGAAAGGCGCAUCCCCGAGCCUUCGAAGGAUCUGCUCUACCCUGACUCCCGUCAGUAAUCCUUAAUGUAGUCGGCACUGGAGCCUGCGCCAUCCUGGCAGCUAGUAGGGGACAUUGGGACUUCAUAUGGCCCACUGACUCACAAUGGUAACAAAGUCCAACUCCAUAAGCUGGAGUAUGCUGCCUACAAUCCCUAGCAAUGUGUCCCUGCUUGCCACACUUGUGGCACCCACUACCAGAUUGGAAAACCCCAGAAUGAGCCUUCCUAUACUUCCCAUAAGUACGGUCGUACUGACCUCCAAACCUAGAAUCAGCAGUCUUGGACUGCUUUGGCGUCGGCUGUGAUUGCGUCGAGGCCUGCCUCUUCUCUCUCAACUGCAGCUCAAUCUCAAGCUCACACCGCCUAGAGGUCUCCUAUAACUCUAGUAAUGUGUCACAUCGUUGGGUAGCAACAAACUACCUGAUGUCAGUCUUGAGCAUGCUCAGAUAACGAGUCAUCUCAGCCUACUCAAAUUCAAAUUCCAGGCAAAACAUCGCCCUCUCAGUGAACAUGCGGGUGAUCUUCGUCACCGACUCUGUACCAUGUCUCAGAUCCAAAAAAUCAUGUAACAUCCGCUUGCGCUCCACCCAUAGAAUGUAGCAAGCGCAGAACAUCUCCUUGAACUGCUCCCAAGUAACCACAACUCUUUGAUCAUCUGUAUACGACCCAGCCAUCAACCUCCACCAGUCCUUUGCCCCGGACCUCAUCAAUUUUAGGGAACAUCUGACCUUCUAGUCAGGAGGACAUGAGAACAUAAAGAAACAUCCCUCCAUGUCAGACAACCACCUCAUGGCUACGAUCGGAUCCUGAGUCCCAUAGAAAGUCGGGGGCUUCGUGUUACCGAAGUCCCGGUAUUGAAAAACCUGACCUGUCCCCGCACCUGCAGUCACCACGGCUACGGAAGCUGCAGCAGCAGCAGUCUCAGCAAUGGCUGCGUAUCGGUCAUCAAAAUACUCCAUCAUGGUGGUCUUGAUAGGCCUGAACAUCUCUGGAAUCUAACCCUGGACGAUCUCGACCACCUUCUCGCGGAUGAUCUCCCUGACACGAUCCUCUGUCAACACUGGCCAACCUAGCCGAUAGUCUUGGGCGCUGUCAGGGCAUUCUGACCGACCUACCUUGAUCCCGAUCCGGAUCUAGUCUCAAAAUGCCUCGUAACCACCAUACCAAAAAUACAUCAGGAGGAUAUCAGAUAAUCCGCAUAAAUAAUAGGGAACCAACUCCCAACUACCCUUGGGGUUGUGACUUCCUUGCUAUGCGUAUGGGUCAUGUGCUUUCAGUAGUAUGGGCCCAUACUACCUUCCACACCUACCCAUAUUUGUCUCAAGUAUCUGUUGGAUUAGUGUCUAAGUCCAUAACUAUUUUGGUAUGUACUUGACCCGAUGGUGCAUGGUCCUUUUGGGUUGCCUUCACCAAAGCAACUUGAUAGGAUGAAUUAUGGAGAGAAAGGAUUAAAUAUGAUUUAUUAAUAUAUUAUGGGAAUAAUAUAUUAAAGGAGAAAUCAUAUUGUUUAAUUAAUAUUAGUCAAGAAUUAAUUGGUAAUUAGUUUUGUGACUAAAGGAGAUUAAUUAAACUUAAGGGACUGGAAUUGUAAUUAUAAGAUAAUUGCAAUUAGGGCCAUGGAUUGCCUUUUAUUAUAAGGUGGACGAAUUCUAUGGGGGAAGCCCAUAUGAAAUCGUCCAAGGCCUUGAGAAAAAGGGCUCCAUGGGUUGCUUAGGGCUUAGGCAUCCAAAUUAGGGUUUCCUUGUUAGAUAACCCUAAUUGCCUCACUAUAUAUAGAUCCCUUAUGAACCAAAAACGUGGACAAGCUUCUUGCUAGGGUUUCACACGAGUUUUGGUAGCCUCCAUCCUCUCUCCUCUUCAUCCUCUUGCUUAUGGUGUUUGUGAACCAUUAGAGGAGUGACACUUGUGACUCUAAGCCUUCCAAAGUCAAUUCAAGGAGGAAUUGGGAUUGUUAUUGCUACAUAACAAUCAAGGUAAUAUCUUAAACCUAAUUAUAUGUUAAUAUCGAUUUCCAUAUGCUAGAAUUAGGGUUUAUAGUCUUGGAUAACUUGCAUGUACAAUAGAGAAACCUAGAUCCAAGCAUUAGGGUUUGUAUGAGCACAUAGGAUGUUCUUAGGACCAAAACCCAUCAGUGGUAUCAGAGCCUAGACUGGUUUCAAUUGUAUUGAUGCAUUACAUGUUCAAAAAAUUCGAUUUUUGAUGUUCUGGAGGCUGGACUCGCCGAGUCCAUGGCUGAACUCGCCGAGUCCAUGCAGACUCGACGAGUCCAAGCCUGACUCGACGAGUCAACUCGUCAGAUGGAGGGUAUUUCGCGAUUUCUUGCUGUUUUUGCUUAUGGAUAGUUACCUUAUCAUGUUAGAUCAAUAUUAAUCCGAUUAUAUGAUAUAUUUGACUAUAUUUUUGAUCUAAUUGAAGAUAUUUAUCAAUUAAUAAGAUAAUUGUUUCCUUAUGUGAUAAUUGAUUAAUUAUUUUGAUUAAAUUGAUAAAUUGUUUUGCAAGAAAUCAUUAAAUAAAUCAAAUAUGGAUAAUUAUGUGAUUAAAUGUUAAUUUAGAUUAUUUGUUAUUUGAUCCUUGUUGUUAUGAAAAGUUUCAUAUUUUCCCCUUUAGGUUUUAUAGUUUAAAUUUGAACCCAAAAGUUUUGUUGUUUUGAAAUUUAAAUAGUUGAAACCCUAAUGUUUUGAAAAAGGUUUCAAAACUUGCCCUCAAGUUUUGGAAUUUAAAUUUUGAUUAAAUGGUUUAAUUUUGAUGUAUAUUUAAAUUCUAAACCCUAAUGUGUUGAAAUGUUUCAAAACUUGCCCUCAAGUUUUGGAAUUUAAAAGUUGAUUAAAAGUUUAAUUAGGAAUGUUAAAUUCUAAAACUCUAGUAUUGUUUUGAAAAAGUUCAAAUCACACCCUUAUGGUUUUAUUAAUUAAUUAAGGUGUAUAAUUAAAAGAGGUUUAAUAAAUCCAUAAAAGUUUUGGUUUACAAUUUAAUUGAAUUAAAAGUAUAAUUGUUAAAUUUGACCACCUAGUAUUUUAAAAGUGUAAAAUACACCCUAUACUAUAUAUAACAUUAAAAGUCUAACAUUAUAUAUAUGUAUGAGUAAAAGUCAGUCUUACCGUUAGUAGGCCUCAUUCACGAAGCUGGUCUAUAAGGGGUGUUUAAGGAAAUUGCCUAUAAAAUGGCGAUUGAAUGGGUAUCCACUCUUACCCACCGCACUCUUGACUAGUGGAGGGUCGUUAGCCGAACGGGUAGGAUAGGACGAAACCUUCCAUUAUAAGUAUAAUGAAUUAUUAAAGUAACUAAAUGUUUUCAUAAAAUUCCCAAUCUUAGUUACUUAGGCAAAAGUGAAUUGAUGCAAUUCCAUGAAAUUACACUUUGUGCCCUUGCGAAGACGUUAGUGGAGCGUGUGUGGUUUACCGGCACACUAAAUGGUUCUAAGCAAAGGUAGCAAAGGGUGACUCAAUGUUUGUCAUAGUUCGGUGGAGCGUGUGUGGUUUACCGGCACAUCGAAUAGGUGACUGUAACAUGUGAGGGCACCAUGUAGUUUGCAUGGUUAUUCACACCCGCUUUGUGAUCCUCGGCAUCCCAGUCACAAACUAGAGGGGCAUAUCGAGAUUUAAACAUGCCAUUGAAAUGUUCAAUGAAUCUCAAAGGAUCUAGGAGUUUUCAUAGAUUUAAAACUUAAAUUUCUUUUUCGUUUUUCAUGGUGGAAAUUAGUGAAUCGUCAUUCACUUACCUUCAAAUGUUCUGCAAUUAGGGUUACGGCAUCCCUCUCCCGAGUUGUAGAAUAUUGUGUUGGGUCCUAGCCUUAGUAUCUCAUUUGGGUGAUUUACUAAGGACUCAAUCAAUCAACUAACUUGAAUUCGUUUUCUCCCGUUUUGUAGAUGUCAAAGUUCGACAACUAUGGUCUUCCCAAAUCCCGUGGAACAAGCAUUCCACAUGAAGAUGAUAUUCCACGAUUCGAUCGAGGAACAAGAAAUCAUGCUUCACUUCCUCCACCUCCUCCAAUUAUUCUCCCUAACCCACAAGUUCAAAGGCUUGAAAAGUUCAAGAUCACUCAAGCCCUUUUGGCAAGUAAACAUAAAGAAGGAAAGUCGGUGUGUGCACACGUCCUAGGGAUGAAGUCACACAUUGAUAGGUUAAGAAUGUUGGGAUCCGUUGUCUGUGAGGAAAUGGCUGUUGAUUGGGUUCUUCAGUCACUUCCUAACUCAUAUAGUGAGUUCGUAAGAGAGUACUAUAUGAUGAACCGCGACGUGACCCUUAUAGAUCUCACCUAUAUGCUUAUUGCUGCUGAAUCAGCAAUGGUUUGGCGCAAUAGAAAAGCAAAGUUGAUUGGUGAAUCUGCCUUCAAGACCUCUAUGGAUAUAGACAAUGGCAACGAAAGACAUGCUAUGAUCGAAAAGUUUGAUCAUAAGAGAAAGGCAAUGUCUGAAGUAGUUCCAUGUCAUGUUCCAAAAGAGUCAAUUUGCUUUUAUUGCCAAGAGAAAGGGCAUUGGAGACGAAGCUGCCCCAUUUACCUAAGAGAUCUAAGAGAUGGGAGAGUCGAAACGUAUGGCUCUAAUAUAGGUAAAAUCCAUUAACUAACUCUUUUAAGCUUCUAUUCUAGAUUCUUAAUACAUAAUGUGAUAAGAUUACAAUUGAUGUUUUGUAGGAUCGAAGAAAAGAAAGGAAGCUUAAGGGAAGAAGUGAGCAGAAUCUAACCGUGAAGGAAUGGAUUUCGAUCGCAUUUCUCGAAGAUUAGAUUCUUGAGCUACUACUUAGAGUUAGAAUUAGAUUGCUAAGAAAGAUGUAUUAGCAUAAGUUUUUCAAUGAAUUGCAUUGUAAGGACAAAUUUUUCCGCAAUAAAAUAAAUUUUGAUUUUAAAUUUUAUUUAUUUAUCCUUACAAUGGCGUGUAUGAAAAAUUGAUGUUAAAAUGUUUCUAUUAUUAGCAAUAAUGGAUUUGGUUCUUAUUAUGUUAUUUAUGGAAAGUCGAGAAUUUACCAAAUAGGGAGAGUUUCUCAUCGCCCAAGUUUCAAUUGGACAGAAACUUGGAAUCAUGCAACUUGGUUGCACGAUGAAUGAGAAAUUUCAUAUUUGGAAAUUAGACAAAUUCAUUGACAAAGUGUCAAGUGAAGGACUAAGAGAUCGAGCACACAAAGUUGCGUGUUGAUCAAGUCCACCAUAAGAGUAACAAUGAUAUUCGUCAUGAUUUACUAAAGGUUUAGUAAAUAUGAUUAUACUUAUAAGAUUAAGUGUAAUUCUGAAUUGAUUGAAAAGGUUUAAAUCAAUAGCAGAACGAAUAAGAAGAAUCAAGUAGGCAGAAAGAUAAAAGUUUCUCCAUUCUAAGAAGAAGGGAGAGUACCUUUUAUGCUUUAUGAUAGGUCUUAAUGAUUAAGAACCAUAUCUCAAUUGAUCCUCUAAGUGAGUCUUAGUACAAUUGUAUGUCUAAGAAGAGGAAUCAAGAAUUGAAGAAAUGGUUAAAUCAAUAAGUCAAUCAUACUUCGUUCCAAUAACAAGUCUUAAAGUUAAGAUUGUGACAUUGAGUGAAAGGUAUUAAGAAGGUUUGUAACUUUCAUUAAAUGUGGAAAGUUGUGAUGUCUUGGAUAAGACAAAGACCAACUAGGACCAAUUUAUGAAGUGUUUUGAUAAAAGCUACACUAACUCUUGAAUAUUUGUUUGUCAAGAAAUGGUUAUUGACAAGAGAAUCUUAUAUGUCAAGGAGUCAGUGGGAGUCUUAAUGGUCUUGAAAGGUUUCAAGAACAAAUCAAAUAAACCUUAUCGAUCAUCACUAGCACACGAGUUGAGGUUUACAACCUAUCGUGUUGACAUUAUUUUGAUUCUGUGCCAAUCCAAUCGAGUUAAUUAUGCAUGUGAGUUCUAUGAGUUCUCAUUUUGAACGCAUAAAAGGCAAAGCACCUUAAUCAAUGAAAGGUACAUUGAUAGGAAAGGGUGAGCUGCUUAACUACUUGGAAGACAUGGUGGGCAGCUGUGCUACCAUAAGGCAAGAAAUCAAGAUUAAGAA